UACGGAGGGGGCGAGCGUUAUUCGGAAUUAUUGGGCGUAAAGGGCGCGUAGGCGGCCUUGUAAGUCAAAGGUGAAAUCCCUCGGCUCAACUGAGGAACCGCCUUUGAAACUGCAAGGCUUGAGGCCGGGAGGGGGUAGCGGAAUUCCCAAUGUAGCGGUGAAAUGCGUAGAUAUUGGGAGGAACACCAGUGGCGAAGGCGGCUACCUGGACCGGUUCUGACGCUGAGGCGCGAAAGCGUGGGUAGCAAACAGG
RNAcentral lists this ribosomal RNA (253 nucleotides) under uncultured bacterium. RNAcentral describes it as "partial 16S ribosomal RNA". It matches the Rfam family "Bacterial small subunit ribosomal RNA", at positions 524 to 776 of the family's 1533-position model. The record is from RNAcentral.